RNAcentral lists this long non-coding RNA (892 nucleotides) under Mytilus galloprovincialis (Mediterranean mussel). Lineage: Eukaryota; Metazoa; Mollusca; Bivalvia; Mytilida; Mytilidae. The record is from RNAcentral.
CUUAUAUAUUGUUUAAUGGUACAUUGUAAUACACAUACUAGAUGAUUAACAUUUUCACAUAGAAUCUUAUAAAUCUUUCUCAAAUCUCUUUCCUAAACUUUAGAAUAUUCUUUCUCAUUUAUCUAUAAAAAUAGUAUUCACAAUUAUUCUUUUGAAAAUUAUACACUGAUGUUAUAAUUAAUUUGAAUGAAAUUAUCUUAUUUCAUUAUAAAAAAGAAAAAACAUAAAAAGGGAGAAUAGAAAAAGUAAGAAAAUUAGCAGCUGCCUGUAUAGCUGAGGAAAACAAUAAUUAUCUGCUUCCUUGCAUAUCACUUCUCCUUGUACAUUUGUUUGGAAGUAAAAAUUAAUGUAUAACAGAAUAAAAUGUCUUAUAAAUGAACUAUGUACAGUUGGUUAAAACAAAAUAUACAACACUAAUUCUUUCACUAUUACUUUGUUACUGCAUUUCAUACAUUUUACAGCCAAAGUCCAUUUCUUUCAUUUCUCCUCUCAGUUCAUUCAAAACCUACAUUAUUCAUCAUCUAAUUAAAAUAAACAAUAUCCAACUCAUUCACAAAUAUUCUUACUCAUUUACGUCCAUCAUACAUGUUUAUAUCUAUCAAAGCUAAAUACCUUGAACAGAACAUAAUAUUGCCUGUCAUUCAAAUAGUGCUAAGGGACGACAUCAAAAGAUCAAUGAAGGAUAAAAUACUUAAUUCAAAUAGUUUGGGGGUGGGGAGUUAAACUUGCUGCAAGUUUUGAUUAUCCUACAUCGAUUUUACAUAUAUCCAUAUGGGUCAAUCAAUUUUUUCCAAAUUAAGUUAAGAGGGGGGUAGGGGGGUCAUUAAAAAAACUAUGUGAAUUAAGUUUUUUAUCCUACAUUGAACUUUUGAUGUAGUCCCUUAUUUCUUAU